AGUAUUGUAGCCAAUGAGGUUAAUCCGAGGCGCGAUUAUUGCUAGGUGAAAAUCUCUUCUGAU
RNAcentral lists this small nuclear RNA (63 nucleotides) under Chrysemys picta bellii (western painted turtle). Its description in RNAcentral is "U4 spliceosomal RNA (ENSCPBG00000000882.1)". It matches the Rfam family "U4 spliceosomal RNA", at positions 17 to 79 of the family's 138-position model. Rfam says of the family: U4 small nuclear RNA (U4 snRNA) is a component of the major U2-dependent spliceosome. The structure of U4 snRNA from yeast and human has been reported. Lineage: Eukaryota; Metazoa; Chordata; Testudines; Emydidae. The record is from RNAcentral.